RNAcentral lists this ribosomal RNA (209 nucleotides) under uncultured bacterium. RNAcentral's name for it is "partial 16S ribosomal RNA". It matches the Rfam family "Bacterial small subunit ribosomal RNA", at positions 568 to 775 of the family's 1533-position model. The record is from RNAcentral.
UGCGUAGGCGGUCCGGCAAGUUGGGCGUGAAAGCCCUCGGCUCAACCGAGGAACUGCGCUCAAAACUGCCGGGCUGGAGGGAGACAUAGGUGAGCGGAACUUAGGGUGGAGCGGUGAAAUGCGUUGAGAUCCUAAGGAACACCAGUAGCGAAAGCGGCUCACUGGGUCUCUUCUGACGCUGAGUGCACGAAAGCUAGGGGAGCGAAGAG